RNAcentral lists this long non-coding RNA (19922 nucleotides) under Gossypium barbadense (sea-island cotton). RNAcentral describes it as "long non-coding RNA (GBAR_LNC009289)". Lineage: Eukaryota; Viridiplantae; Streptophyta; Magnoliopsida; Malvales; Malvaceae. The record is from RNAcentral.
CAAGUUUUAUUGCUAAGGUUGUUAAUAUUUGAUAGUACACAAUAGUAAACAAAUGAAUAAAGUAUUUCUGACAUUUCAUUGUUAGAGUAACUAAAGUCAGUAUUAAAUAUGGUUAAAGUUGUUAAUUUGUUAACAACAGUUGUGCAAAGCAAAUCUCUGUAUAAAUUCAAAUUAGUGUUUAUCUAUGAAAGCAAGUAAUUCUCUCUAUUCAUAAAUGAAAUGCCAGAAAUAUUUUCUUUAUUUGUUUACUAUUGUGUUCUAUCAUGGUAUCAAAAGCUUGAUUCCUACGAAGUAGAGUUUCAAGAUCUAAAGAUAUCUUGUUGUUCAAUGGAAGAAACCACGCAAUACAUGUCCAUUAACGAAGUAGGUUCUCAUGGUGCUUUGAUUCACUCGUUUUCUCGCCAUGACAUAGUGAAGCUUCAAGAAAGCACCUUUGUCCUGUGGCAGCAUCAGAUUCUGCUCAUUGUUGAUGGUUAUGGCCUUACCAACUUUGUUACUGGCAGCGUGGUCACACCUCUUACACUUGCACUUAAUAAAGAGGGAAGUUGGUUUCAAAUCUUGCUUAUGCACCUAUUGAUAGCAAGAAAAAUUGCUUACCUCUUGGUUGUUGUCUACUAUUAGUAUGGAUGUUUUACCUUAUUUUAUAGGUACCACCACAACCCAUGCCACCUGGAGCAAGGCAUGUCUUCUGGUUGCAGCAGUGUCGAGCACCAAAGUAUAUUGUCUGAAACAUUCUUUGAAAAAAUGUCACCUCUCUGUGAAGGAGUAUCUGGCCAAGAUUAAGUCCAGCUGUGAUCUUUUGAGUGCUUCUGGACAUGAUGUUUCAAAUGAAGAGCAAGUAAGUAUCAUUUUUGUUAGUCUUUCGAUGGAGUUAGAUUCUAUUUUGAUAUUUGUCUCGUACGUCUCUGAGUCUUUGUCAUUAGAUUGUCUUAUCAGCAUGCUUCUUGAUUAUGGAAAUCGACAAAAAUAGUUUGCCAUUAAGGUUCCAAUUCAGGCGAAUCUGGUUCAACAACCCUUUGAUUGGAGUGUAAAUUCUUCAGCCAGAAAAAAUGCCACUUUUGGUUUUCAUCAAUCUAACUACUUGUCUCAUGGUGGUUGUGGCUUCUAUCGGGGUCGAGGUCAUGGUGGUCAUGGUCGUCCACAAUCUCAGUUGUAUGGUCGGAUAGGGCAUGUCAUCCAAGGUUGUUAUUACUAUUUUGAUCAAUCGUUUCUCGCUAGUAGAUAGGGGUUUCGAUUUCGGUUCUAACCCUCACAUAAGUUUUUCUUUUUAUAAUGAUUCAUAUCCUUCGGCUCUAUAUACUUCUAGUCCAUCAACCCAUACAUCUAGGCCAUCAGUUUUGUCCAGGCAUAUGAUCCAAGCCAAUCAUGUUUCAUAUCAACCACAUGGGUCUUCUGUUGGGUUUCCUGAUCUACCUACAAGUCAAAUGGGCUUGUGUAAUUCAAAUGUUUAUGGUCCAACUUCUAUUCACUCAUGUGGGCUCCCUGUUGUAUCUUAUGGCCAACCAAAUUCUGCUUCAAUGAGGUGCAGCACUAAUUUCCACUUUCGGUAGGCACUACCUCCACCGAAGCCAUAACUUGGUAUCAUGAUUCUGAAGUGACAAAUCAUGAUUUUCAUGAUGCGUCUGUGUUGCAUGGCACGAGCAAUAUUAAGGUAUGACACUCUUACUUAUGGGAGAUGGUACAUGUGCUAAUAUUGCCCAUUUAGGACAUAACACUGUAUCUACUUCAACCAAAUGUUUGCAUUUGAUGAAUAUGUUGCAUGUUCCUAAUAUUUGCAAGAAUUUUAUUUCAGUUUUUUAAUUUGCUCAAGAUAAUAAUGUUUUUUUCGAGUUUCAUCCUUUUCACUCUCGUUAAGGAUAUUCAGAAAAAAGAAGUUUUAUUUCUCGGCUAUACACAUGAUGGUUUGUAUAGGUUUUCUUCAAUAUUUUCUUCUGCUGCUCCGAAUUUCAUUGGUGGUUUAGAUUUGUGCUUGAACAACACUAAAUUUGAAGCAAGUUCUAAUCUUUCUAUUAAGUGUAGUAUUUUUAAAUUGUGGCAUAGGCGACUUGGGCAUUUGUUUUCUCGUGUACUAAAUUUUGUCUUAAAGCUUUGUAAAGUUUCUAAGAGUGAUAAUAAAAUGCAGCAUGUAUGUUUUGCGUGCCAUCAAUGUAAAUCUCAUAAGCUCUCAUUUUUCUCUUCUACUAUUAUCUAUCACAACUCGAUUGAUCUUAUUGUUUCCAAUUUAUGGGGACUGAAUUCUAUAAACUCCUGGUCAAAUUGGUAUUAUGUUACAUUUGUGGAUGUUUAUAGUCAUUUUACUUGGUUAUAUCUUCUUCAAAAGAAAUCUCAAGCUAUUGAUUAUUUUAUGAGUUUUUAGAAAUUUGUUAAAGUGCAGUUCAAUUGAAAUAUCAAGCAAUUUCAAAGUGACUAGGGUGGUGAAUUUCGGUUCAUGGAAUUGUUCAUCAGGUCACUUUUCCACACACAUCAAAACAGAAUGGUAUUGUUGAAAGGAAGCACCGUCAUGUGGUUGGAGUUGGCCUCACACUACUUGUUUAAUCUCAAUAGCCAAUGAAGUAUUAGGGGUAUGCUUUCACUUGUGUUGUCCAUUUGAUCAACUGAUUGCCCACUCUGAUACUCCAAGAUCGGGUGCCUUACUUGUUUUUCAUGGCAUUCAUCCUGAUUAUACACAUCUCAGAGUAUUUGGGUGUUGUUAUUAUCCACACUUACGACCGUUCCAUCAUUACAAAUUAGAGUUUCGGUCUCAGCCAUACAUAUUUCUUAGAUAUAACCCAUAUCAUAAGGGUUAUCAAUGUCUUGUUGAUGAUGGUCUAGUGUUUAUUUCGCAACAUGUGGUGUUUGAUCAGAACUAAUUUUUGUUUGCAACGUCUACCUGUGAUAGUUGUCUCUCUUAACUCCAAUUGUACCACUGCAUAUGUUCCAGUGGUUUGCUCUCCCUCAAUGAAUCAACGACGUCUUUCCCUAAAAUCUACUAACACGGUUGCCUCUGUUGUUCAGUCUCCUUUGGUUUCUCAGACUUUAGUCUCCCCCAUUGCUCGUAUUGAUCAGGAUUCAAAGUGAUCAAUUGCAAUUCACCUAUGUCCACUAGUCCAGUUGCAGAGGUCGAUGAUUUUUCUCUUAAUGGUGGGUCUGCUUCUUAUUCUCCUACACUUAAGGUUUCAGCAAUUAUUCCACUACUUCUAAUUACUCUCCCUCCCACCAACAUUUAUCAUAUGGUUAGUCAUUUGAAAGCUAGUGUUUUUAAACCAAAGGCGCUAAUCGUUGAGCAUGAUGAACGCGAACCUUACACCAUUGAGGAAAUGUUUGCUACUAGAGAGUAGAAAAAGGUUGUUGAUAAAGAAUAUGAUGUCUUGUUUCACAAUAAAACCUGAACUAUAGUUCCGUUACCUCUGGGUUGCAAAGUAGUCGGUUGUAAGUGGAUUUUUAAGGUAAAACAUAAUCCUAAUGGCACCGUAGCUCGUCAAAAAAGGCGAUUGGUUGUAAAAGGGUGUUCUCAAGUUCCUAGUUAUGAUUUUCAGAAGACACUUAAUCUAUUUGUCAAACCAAUUACAAUUUGCACUAUUUUUUCCUUUAAUGUUACCAAAUGUUGGCAGUUGUGCCAACUAGAUAUGAAGAAUAUGUUUUGUAAGAUACCAAAAUAGGGCCUAAAUGGAAUAGUGGUUACGAAACCACGAAUCUGAGGUUAAAAAAAUUUAUUUCAAUUAAUUUUUAAGGUUUAUUCAUUGAUUGAAUAAUUGUGUGAAAAUUUUGUGAAAAAAAUUUAUGUAUAAGUGCCUAAUUUGAUAAUUAGGACUAAAUUGUAAAAUUAGCAAAUUGUGUGUUCUAGAUAAUAAAGGGGAUUUAAUUGAAAUGGGUUCUUAAAGUGAAGGUCCUUAUUUAGAAAUUAGACCAUUAUAUUUAUGUUUGGACAAAAAUGGGCAAGAAUAAGACAAAUUUGAAAGAAAAGCCUUUAAAGGCAUUUUCGUCAUUUAGUAAUUAAAAGAAUUAAAAAGGGAAAAUAAAGCCAAAAUUGGUCCAUCUUCUUCAUGGAGGCCGAAUAUAGCAUAGGGGAAGCCAUGGUUAGGGUUUCCAAGGUUUCCAAUUUGAAUAGUAAGUCCGUUCUAGCCUCGUUUUUAAUGUUCUUUACGUUUUUGAAGUCCCGGUAAUUUGAUUUAGCUUAUUCUAGCAAUAAUUCAAGCUAGGGUUCAUAAAAAUAUCCAUAGGUUAAAUUUGUUUAUUUUGAUGUUUUAUGGUAGAAUAUGAAGAUUGAAAUUAUGUUAAACAACUUUUACUAAGAGAUUUUAAGUGAAAACGAGUAAAACGACAUAAUCGGUUAAGUUUCAGAUAUAAUGAUUAAUGUUCGAUAAUAAUUUGAUAUUGGAAAGAGAACUUGUAUAAUUUAUAUGUAAGACCAUAUUUUGUAUUAUGGCUUUGUAUGAUAACAAGAAAGUAUUGACUAGCAUAGUUUGAUGAGAAUAAGUUAAGUUAAUGAUAUGAUAAGAUUGAGAAUGUAAGUAUGUAAGUUGAGUAGCAUUUUAUUAUUAUGCAAUUAUUGUUAUUAGUAUUGUUAUUAUUGAGUUAUGCAACUAACCUUGAGAAUUUGAGCAAGUAUGUUUCAGCUAUGACUUGACAAGGCAUUGAUAUCUUAAAAUCCAUGGUUGUACCAUGGCAAUUAAGGAAGAAUUGAUGGAAAAUUCCAUGUUCAUAACAUGGCAUUUAAGGAGGAAUUGACGGUUAAGGAUAUGUAAGACCAUGUCAAGACAUGGCAUUGGUAAGGCAAGGAUCCUGUGUAAGACCAUGUCAAGACAUGGCAUCGACAUUGAUUAAGGACUCCAUGUAAGACCAAAUCAAGAUGUGGCAUUGGCACUAAGACCAGGAUACCAUGUAAGACCAUAUUUGGAACAUGGCAUUUGGUAAGACAAGGAUACCAUGUAAGACCAUGUUUGGAACAUGGCAUUUGGUAAGAUAAGGAUAUCAUGUAAGACCAUGCCAAGGCAUGGCAUUGAUAAGUUCUAUAAGGUAAGGAAAUCAUGUACGACCAUGUCAAGAUAUGGCAUUGAUAAGUUACUAUAAGGCAAAGGUCCCAUGUAAGACCAUGCCAAGCCAUGGCAUUAGUGAGUUCAUAAGGCAAGGAUACCAUAUAAGACCAUGUCAAGACAUGGCAAUGGUAAAUUCAAAAAGGAAAUAGUUCCCGAGUAAUCCAAAGAGUAAGUCAAAGAAACUACAAGGUGAGAACGUGAAGAAAGAGUACAGGUAUGCAUUUAAGGCUUAUUUAAUAUUGAGAUUGAAGGUAAUUGAGAUUAUCAAGUAUUAAGUAAGUGAUGAGUUUUCAGUUAUGCUUGUGACACUUUAUGACAUGAUUGGCAAUAAGCCUAUAUUAUGAAAGAGUACUCAUGUGUUAAGUGAGAUGUUACAGGUAUGUAAGCAAGCUAUUAAGUAAGGUGCCUUUUGUAUUUCAAGUCUUUGGUAAGGUUACCGAUGAGUAAGAUGGGAAAGUAAUAACUAAACAUUAUUUAAGCAAAUUAUGACAACAUUGUAGUAAGCUAAAUUGAUUGUUAAUGAUUAUUAUUUUACAUGUGAACUUACUAAGAUUUAUAAGCUUACUUCUUUCACUUUCCCAUGUUUUAGAGUACUUAAAAGCAAGCUCGGGUUGGAGGUCGUCGGAGAUCACUUCACACUAUCGACUGUCAAGUUACCAAAUGGGUAUAUUCGUUUACAAACGUUCUAGUUUAUGGCAUGUAUAGGACUUAGCCAUUUUGUAUGUAUGUCCUUAUGAUAUGGCUAAAGAAUGGUAUGUAAAUAUUUGAUAAUGCUUAGCUAUUGAAAUGGCUAAUGAAGAACAUUUUUCGGUAUUAUGUAUGCCUAAAUGUUAGUUAAUAUAAAGAAAUCAUGAAAAAGUGAAAUUAGCAUUAAAACAGUAUUGAACAGCAGCAGUGAUGUGAUCUUGAAAAAUCACCAAGAAUAGUAGAAAUGGAAUUAGGUGAUGAAUGAGAUAUAGAAUUAAAUCUUAUUGAGUCUAUUUUCAUAUUAAAGAAACAAAGUUAGCAAAAGUAGUGUAUAUUAAGAGAUAUUUGAAUUUUAGUGAGAUACGGUCAGAGCAAUUUCUGAAUCCCCUAUUUUGACUUUAUAAAUUCACUAAAAAUUUUCCAAAAAUAAUUAGGAGUUAUAGUUUAUAUUUUCAGAUUCCUUAGUGAAUCUACUUUCCAUAGAAAUAAAUGGCAUGGUUAUUUGAAUUCUGUAAAGGGAGACAAUUGAUUCGUAGUGAGGAGAGGUAAGAGUAGUCAAACAGUGCAACAAGGAAAACUUUAACUAAUAAACUAUACUAACUGGCUACACCAAAAAUUUUGGAAAAUAAUUGGUAAGAAGAUAUAUGAGUCUAGUUUCAGGAAGAAUUCAUGAAUUUAAAUUUUGAGUUUUUUGACUCGAGUUAUCAUUUAUUUAGUGACUAUGAAGCAGGUGGGCAGUUUUAUAAGGAAUAAUGAAAUAAAUUGUUUUGAUUUCUCUAAGUAUUCGGAAAAUUUUUAAUGUUCCCGGUUUGGUCCCGAAGCUUUUCAAUUGCAUGUUUUAGGGUCUUGAGGGCCCUUUUUAGGGACAUAUUGAAUGAAUGUACUUAAAUUAAUUUUAAAAUAAAAUUUUAUGCCUCGAAUUAGUAAGUGAAGUCAGGUAAUGCCUCAUGCUCGACUCCGGCGACGGUCUUGGGUAAAGAGUGUUACAUUUAUUGGUAUCAAAGCAAAUGUUUAAUCAGUUUUUGGAAUAUUCAGUAUGAGUAAGAGUCUAGCUAUACAUGCCAUAUUGAACUAUGAUAGUGUGACGACUGACGACUCUCGACCCAGAUAUAAAAUGUUUUGUUAGAUAGAUGCACACUCCAACCGAGCUAAGUUUGAUAGUACAGACAGUAUGCUUAUGAUGAGUUGAGGCUCUUAAAAUGUAAGAAUAAUGGUUCAUGAUGUUUAUGUGAUAAUAAAUAAAUUUUGAAUAAAAAUUGUUCGAGAAAUAUGAAAGAUGAGAUAAGAUGAAAGGAAACUUUAUAUUGAGAAAAGUGUUCAUGUUAAAUUGGCAUUUGUAUGAUGCUAUAUGUAUAACUAGAGAAGUUAAUUGAAUGUUAUGAGUAAUUUUACUCGAGAUUUAUGAAUGCAUGUAUAAGUGCACUAAUUUUCAUAAGAUGAUCAUGAAGUCAUUGUAUUAUUAACGUGCAUGUUAAGUUGCUUGAAGCAUUGUAUAAUUGUGAUAAUAUUUUUAUAUGAUGAGUGUUAAGUUAUAUGCAUGAGUAUGUAAGAGGUAAGUCAGAGGUGUUACAACCUCACCCCCUUAUCAGUAAGGUAAUUCAGAAUGAGAUUUCAUGAAAUUCAGAUUGAAUAGGCUAAAGUGGAAAACUAAAUAGUUCAGUGACAGAUUUAUUGACGAUGUAAUCAGAGUCGAGAAUGAUUUAGAAAAUGAACACAGUUGCAGAAAGGAUGCCAGAUUAAUAAUAAAAUCAUCCGGAUAACUGAAAUGUCACAGUAAAAGAAAGGUCGGGCUCAUCUAAUGCACUCAUUCAAGUAUGAUGUGUAAGGUAUAUAAUUGCUAGAUUUUCUUCCGAAUAAAAUGGGAUAAUGUGAAUUCAGUAAUGAUAGAAUUAGACAGAGGAAUAAUAAUUGAGCUGUAUUAAUAGUUGAAUGUAGAGUUUAUAGUUGAGAAAUUAUAGAAAAAUCUUUUUCGACUAUUAUAUGUGUACAUUUACUUUCAGAGAUAUACAUAAAUAUAUGCAAGAUCAUAGAUGCAAUUCCUGCAGUAUGAGAAUAUUAGUUAAAUUUACAGACAAAUGAAAGCAUUAUAGUUUGUUUGAGCUGUGAUUGAUAUUGCUCUAUCUAUUCCAGUUUUCUACUUCAGCGUUUAGAUGGAAGGUUGAUAGUAAGAUUGUAUGAUGUUAGUGAUCUGUAUUGUUAACUAUUGCAUAAUGAAAGUAAAAGAAAAUUUUAUGGCUUUUGUUAUAGUUGUUCCCAGUGCUUGUGAGUAUCAUCUUUUCCUUUUGGAAAUUUUCUAAGAUGCUAUUGAAACCUUAACUGUUCUACAUGAGAUGUGGUUACCAGGAAUUCUGUGUAGCUCCAUGUUCUGAGAUUUUAUUAUCUCGGUUUUAUUAAUAAAUUAUUGUUCAAAGUAUCAGCCAUGAGACAUUAGCAGAAAAUGCUCUAUUGAUGAAAAUGGUUUCUUCUUAUUAUGAGUAUGUUUAUGAUGAUUACGAGUUCGGGCCUGAUAAUGAAAGUACAGAGGUAUAGUUAUCAGAGGUAUAAAGAUUCUUCUUUUGCACUGGUUGUUAUUGAAAUUUGUGUUUAAAUCUUUCAGCUGAUCAAGAUGUUUUAUUUUCACUCGGGACAUUAUUUACUAAAGUAAUUGAGAAGUCAGUCUUAUUAUAGCAUUAUGAUUUUUGAGUAGUAUGAGUAUUGUGGCCUUAGUGUAGUUCAGUUCAGAUAUGUGUAUUAAUUUUCAUUUUUCGCAUAAUCUUGAUAUAUAUAUCAGUGAGUUAAAGACCGAAUGUUAUGUUCUUUUGAGUUAUGUAGUAAUAAUGAUUUGUGAUUAGCUCUUUGAAGAAAUCACGACAGAACGUAUGUUUGAGAUAUCAUGACAGCAUAGAGAAGAACAGUUUUUGAGAAGUUAUUGUCUUUUAGUUGAGACUGAUUCAGUUGAACAGUUGAUUGAGUUAUAUGUAUGUUUGAAUUAUUCAUGGCUUCAGAGGUAAAUGCUGACUUUUCAUGUAUAAAUAGAUAAAUGACCCGAGUAAAUAGUACAUAUUCUAGAGGUUAUGGUACAGAGUUGUAUACGCAUAUCAGAAUGGUUGCAUCAGAGGUAUAUUUUUGCAAAUCCAAGUUGUCUGUUGUUAAAGUUCUCAUUGUAUGAAGUUUAGUUUGGCUUGAAUUCAUGCUAAUAAAGUAUAAACAGUUGAAGAUAUUGACAAUUGAAGUAUCCAUUAUGAUUUAGCUUGGUUUGAAUAAAGAGUUUAUGGUUUCUAGAAAUGUGUUAAUGAGAAAUCAAGAGAUUUUGCAACAGUUAUGAUGCCUAGCACAGUGAUAAUUAUUUGAUUAUUUGAGAAGUACAGAGAUGGAUGAUAACUUGAUUUAGUUAUACUAGUAAGAGUGUGAAAUGUUAUGUACCAGACUUUGAAUCCGAUACCUAAACUUUUAGAGAGUUAAAGUUGAUUUUCAAGUAUCUCAGAAGCUAUUACAGUUAGUAUUGAUGCUUGUGUGAAAAUGUGAGGGUAUUUUGAAGAAUUGUACAAUAGAAUUAGCAUUAUCACCGAAAGGUUAAAUGAGCUAUGGUUGAUUGCUCGAAGAAGUUUGUGUAUUCUUCUCAGUACGAAUGAGUUUUUCUAUUGAAGGAUUACCUGAGUUAUUCAUUUUGAGGUUGUCAAUUCAUUCAGGGUGUAAAUUUAGUUGUUAUGGCUGGAAAUCCAGGGUUGCACCGUGACUUAAGAAGAAAGCUACAGUAAGUUUUAACCAUGAGAUUGCUAAAUGUUAUGUAAGUUUUGACCAUGAGAUUGCUAAAUGUUAUUGCAUGUCACUUUUGUACUGAUAGUUGAAUUGAGGAAGAGAAAUUCACAGAAUUAAACUGAGCAGAAAGGAUUAGAGGAAAGUGAAAAUUAAUUAUAGAAAUCAGAGACAGAUUAUCAAAAAUUGUAUACAGAAUCGAAAGGUAAGAAUAUUGACACUCAAAAGAGAAACAAUAUUUUUUUAAAGUACCUUAGUGGCAGAGAAUUUCCAUUUUGGUAAGAAAAGAAGAGUUAGUUGCGUUUCAUCAGAGAAUAUGAUGUUAAUGAUAAAAUAAGGUCAAUUACUUAUCAAUAGGUAUUCCAGUUCAGAGCCUUAGUUUAAGAAGUAAAAUGUUGGGUAUGCCAAGGCUGAAUGAGAAUUUGAAGGUGUUGCUGAAAAUCAAUUUCGAAUCCAUUUGUAGGUAAGAUUUUCGGGGACGAAAAUCCCUAAAGGGGAGAGAAAUGUAACAUCCCAAAAUAUGGCCUAAACGGAAUAUUGGUUGCGAAACCAUGAAUCUGAGGUCAAAAAAAUUUAUUCUGAUUAAUUUUUAAGGUUUAUUCAUUGAUUGAAUAAUUUUGUGAAGAAAUUUUAUGUAUAAGUGCCUAAUUUGAUAAUUAGGACUAAAUUGUAAAAUUAGCAAAAUGUGUGUUCUAGAUAAUAAAGGGGAUUUAAUUGAAAUGGGUUCUUAAAGUGGAGGUCAUUAUUUAGAAAUUAGACUAUUAUAUUUAAGUUUGGACAAAAAUGGGCAAGAAUAGAACAAAUUUGAAAGAAAAGCCUUUAAGGGCAUUUUCGUCAUUUAGUAAUUAAAAGAAUUAAAAAGGGAAAAUAAAGCCAAAAUUGGUCCAUCUUCUUCAUGGAGGCCGAAUAUAGCAUGGGGGAAGUCAUGGUUAGGGUUUCCAAGCUUUCCAAGCUCAAUAGUAAGUCUAUUCUAGCCUCAUUUUUAAUGUUCUUUACGUUUUUGAAGUCCUGGUAACUUGAUUAAGCUUAUUCUAGCAAUAAUUCAUGCUAGGGUUCAUAUUUGGAAAAAUACUCAUAGGUUAAAUGUGUUUAUUUUGAUUUUUUAUGGUAGAAUAUAUGUAACAGCUUGAAAUAGGGCCUAAUCAGAACAGUGGUUACGACACCACAAAUUCGAGGUAGAAAUAUUUAUUUUAUGAUUAUUUUAGAGUCCAUGAUAUGUUUGAGUGAUUGUGUGCAAAUUUUGUUAAGUAAUUUUAUCAAUAAAGUGACCAAUUUUAUUAUUGGGAUUAAAUUGCAUUAAUUGCAAAAUAUGAGUUCUAAUAUAUAAGUACUUGUUUGAAAUGGGGGUUUAAACUAGAAGUCUUUAAAUGGAAAAUAGAUCAUCAUAUUUUGGUAUGGAGAAAAUUAGACAUGGAAGGGUAAAAUUGAAGGUUUAGUAAAAAGGGGUAUUUUGGUCAUUUGGGUGUUUUAAGGCAUAAAAAACGAAAUUUAAAACCCAAAAAUCUGCUCAUUCUCUUCCCCAUGCUGCUGAAAUUUUCAAAAAGCCAUGGUUAGGGUUUCAAGCUUUUCAAAGCUCAAUUGUAAGUGCAUUUGAGGCCCGUUUUAAAUGUUCAUCGUAUUUUUGAAAUUCCGGUAACUCAGUUUACCUAUUUCUACCAUUGUUUUGAGUUAGAGUUUGAUUUUAAAAAUUGACCAUUUUGAAUAAUUGUGUAUUUUGAUGAAUUAUGGUAGAUUAUGCAUGUCUAUGAUUAGAGAAACGAGUUUUAUUAGAUGAUUUUUGAUGAAAUCGUAUAAAAGGGGUUAAAUUGUAAAAGUUAUAAAUUGGUCAUAAGUGUGUGAAUUAGUGAGAAUUUGAAGUUUCCAUAGAAGAGAAAAAUGUUUAGCAUGCCAUGAAACAUAAAAAAGUUUAAUAAAAAUUAUUUUACGAGCUUAAGGGUAAAAGUGUAAUUUUUGAAAAGUUAGGGGGCAAAAUUGUAAAUUUUCCAAAAUUUGAUAUGUGAAUUGAAUUGAUUAGUGUUGAUAAAAGGUUUUAAAUGAGUGCUAUUUGACAUGUUAGAUCAAGAAAACAUGAAAUUUGGACUAAGAUCGGGGAAGAACAAAGUUGUGGGCUAAGUCGGGAAAAUUAGUCGUUUCGACAUUCGAGGGAAGUUGGUGUGAUAAUAAUAAUGUAAUAACAUUGUAAUUUAUAUUUGAAAGUUAAAUUAGUGAAUUAAUUGAAUUGUGUUGAAUUAAAUGUUUAAUAUGCCAAGUUUAUAAAUCGAUUUAAAAAUAUGUCUAUGGUACAAGAAAAUGCAUUGAAAUAUUGUAUUUAAAUGUGAUUUCUAUGAUUAUGCAUAUUAUGAAAAAAAUUUGUGAAUUAGUGUUGUUACGAGACAAGUGAUUAAGUGAAUGUUGAAUAAGUGUUAAUGAGUUAAACCGAAACAAAUCCCGAUUGAACUUUAGGAAUCUAUAGGCUACAAUAGAGUGGUAGCUUUGGCUACAUCUCAGUGGUAGCUUCGGCUACAAUAUAGUGGUAGCUUCGGUUACAUCUCAGUGGUAGCUUCAGCUACAAUACAGUGGUAGCUUCGGCUACAAUACAGUGGUAGCUUCGGCUACAACAUAGUGGUAGCUUCGGUUACGUUACAGUGAUAGCUUCGGCUAUAUUACAGUGUGGCACUUUGUGCCUUAUUCCGUGUAUCCUUUAGUAUUCCAUAAGGUUCAACGGGUAUUGAAAUGAUAUAAUGAAAAGUGAUUAAAUGUGAAAAGGUUUUAAUCAUGUGAUAAUAAUGUGCAAGUGAACAUUGUGUUUGAGGCAUUUAUAUGUGUAAGUGUGAAUAUGAAUCUUGUGAAUAAGUGCAGGUAUAUAUGUGUAAACUAUGAGCAAUAAGCUCAUUUUAUGGUUGUACUUUGGUAAGGUUGAUAAAAGGUAAAUGUUACCAUUAAUGCAACUAUAGAGAAAGCAUGAAAUAGUGAAUUUUAAAAGUAAAGCAGAUUUGGAUAGUACCAGUCAUGUACAUUUGAAAAAUCACAAAAAAUGAUAAGAAUUUAAUUAAUAAUUAAGAUAUGAAAUUAAAAGUCAUUGAGUCUAUUUUCAUAGAAAGAAAAUGGUGUGAGCAAAUGGAUUAUACUUUAUGAGAUAUUUAAAUUCUUAUGAGACUGGUUUAGAAUGAUUACGUGAUCCCCUAUUCUGACUUGGAAAAAUCAUUAUAAAUUGUAUAAAAAUAAUUAUGGUGCAUGGUUUAUGUGUUUAGAAUCCUUAUUGAGUAUGUUUUAUAUUGGAACAAACGAGAACAUUAUUUGAAUUCUGUAUAAUGAAAUAUCUUAGUUUUUGUGAAGAGAUGUCAGAACUUUCAAAAGUGAAAUAGGGGAAAAUUUAAUUAAUAAAAUGUAUUAAAUGGCUAAGAAAAAAUUCUGGAAAUUUUAUGACAAGAAGAUAUAUGAGUCUGAUUUUAGGAAAAAAUUACAGAACUUAAUUUUGAGUUCUGUAGCUUAUGAAAUAAUUAAAUUAGUGACUAUAGCUUGGGAAAAUAAUUUAAACUGAAUUUGAGUAAAAAGGUGAAAUCAUGUGAAUAUUGAUUCUAUUUUCUUGAGCAUACUUAUUGAGGAAUGGGUUAAUAUUGUUAAUUAAAUUGCUUAUUAUUAUAUGCCAACUUACUAAGUUAUAAAACUUACACUACUUUCCCAUUUCUCUCAGUGUUUUUCAGGAUUGGCUCGGGGUUGGAGAUCGUUAGAGGUAUCAUCACACUAUCAAUUUGUCAGGUUGGAAUAAAAGAAAUUCUUAUUUAUCUAUAAGUGAGUGGCAUGUAUAGAGAUUUAGUUUUGGUAUUAUGUAAUAUUAUGAUUUAGCCAAAUGUAUAGGCUUAUACUGUCUUAUUGUAUAAAUCCAUGAUGUAUGGCUCAUAAUGGCUAUAAGUAAGUAAACCUAUUUUAUGCAUACAUAAGUAAUGUCUUGAUGUGGUUAAGAUAAAUAUAACUAAGAUUAUGACAAAGGUUGAUAUAUCGUAUAUUAGUACAAAGAGUUAAGAACAUAAAAAGGGCUUGGAAAAUAGCCUAAUGUGUGCCAAACGGGCUAGAGGCACGGCCAUGUGUCUCAGCCGUGGGUUAGGACACGGCCACCGCACGGGCGUGUGGUUUGGUCGUGGUGCAUAAACAGAAUGCUCGAUGUUUUUAACACGGGCGUGUGUGACCACACGGCCUGCCCACACGGGCGUCGCCCAUGUCACACGGGUGUAUGACCCCUGAUUUAGUGAAAAAUGUAUAAGUGUUCGAAAAGUUCUUGUUUGGUUCUGAACCAACUUCAAUGAUUGUUUUGCGCCUCAUAAAGCCCAUAAUAGGGACAUAGAGGGUACUCAUGAAAGGUUUUAAUAUAUAAUUGAAAUGUAUGUAUCAGAAAAGUGUAUAAGAGUGCAAUAAUGCUUCAUACCCUGAUCUGGAAGCGGUUAGAGGUAAGGGUUGUUACAAUAUAAAGCUUGAAAUUAUGUUAAACAACUUUUGCUAAGCGAUUUUAAGUGAAAACGAGUAGAAAGACAUAAUCAGUAAAAAUACCUAAUGUUCAUAAGUGCAUGAUAGAGUGGGAAUUUGAUGUUUCCAUAGAAGGGAAAAAUGUUCAUCGUGUCAUAAAACAUAAGAAAAAUGAAUAAAUUUUAAUUUCUGAGCCUAGGGGUAAAAUUGUAAUUCUGCAAAGGUUUAGGGGCAAAAUUGUAAUUUUUCAAAAGUUUGAGUUACGGUAUUUUUUUAAUAGUACAUUAAUUAAAUAAGUGAAAUAUGAUGUUUUAGAUCCUGGAAAGUGAGAUUUGGACCUAGAACGGGAGAAAAACCAAAAAUCAGGAAAGUUGGUAAAAUAGUCGUUUUGGUAUCGAGGUAAGUUCAUAUGUUUAAUAAGCAUUUAAUUAUGCAUAUUUGAAUGAUAAAUUGAUAUUUUGGCCAUAAAUACUUUAGUAUUGAGUUUCAGAUAUAAUGAUUACAGUUCGACAAUAAUUCAAUAUUGGAAAAAGAACUUGUAUAAUUUAUAUGUAAGACCAUAUUUUGUAUUAUGGCUUUGUAUGAUAACAAGAAAGUAUUGACUAGCAUAGUUUGAUGAGAAUAAGUUAAGUUGAUGAUAUGAUGAGAUUGAGAAUGUAAGUAUGUAAGUUGAGUAGCAUUUUAUUAUUAUGCAAUUAUUGUUAUUAGUAUUGUUAUUAUUGAGUUAUGCGACCAACCUUGAGAAUUUGAGCAAGUAUGUUUCAGCUAUGACUUGACAAGGCAUUGAUAUCUCAAAGUCCAUGGUUGUACCGAGGCAAUAAAGGAAGAAUUGUCAGAAAAUUCCAUGUUCAUAACAUGGCAUUUAAGGAGGAAUUAACGGUUAAGGAUACCAUGUAAGACCAUGUCAAGACAUGACAUUGGUAAGGAAAGGAUCCCGUGUAAGCCCAUGUCAAGACAUGGCAUCGGCAUUCACUAAGGACUCCAUGUAAGACCACAUCAAGAUAUGGAAUUGGCACUAAGACAAGGAUACCAUGUAAGACCAUGUUUGGAACAUGGCAUUUGGUAAGAUAAGGAUAUCAUGUAAGACCAUGCCAAGCAUUGGCAUUGAUAAGUUCUAUAAGGCAAGAAAAUCAUGUAAGACCAUGUCAAGACAUGCCAUUGAUGAGUUACUAUAAGGAAAAUUUCUCAUGUAAGACCAUGCCAAUGCAUGACAUUGGUGAGUUCAUAAGGCAAUGAUACCACGUAAGACCAUGUCAAGACAUGGCAAUGGUAAGAUCAAAAAGGUAAAAGUUCUUGAGUAAUCCAAAGAGUAAGUCAAAGAAACGACAAUGUAAGAACAUGAAGAAAGAGUACAGGUAUGCAGUUAAGGCUUAUUUAAUAUUAAGAUUGUAAGUAAUUGAGAUUAUCAAGUAUUAAGUAAGUGAUGAGUUUUCAGUUAUGCUUGUGACACUUUAUGACAUGAUUGGCAAUAUGCCUAUAUUAUGAAAGAGUACUCAUGUGUUAAGUGAGAUUUUGCAGGUAUGUAAGCAAGCUAUUAAGUAAGGUUCCUUUUGUAUUUUGAGCCUUUGGUAAGGUUACCGAUGAGUAAGAUGGGAAAGUAAGAACUAAACAUUAUUUAAGCAAAUUAUGACAGCAUAGUAGUAAGCUAAAUUGAUUGUUAAUGCUUAUUAUUUUACAUUUGAACUUACUAAGAUUUAUAAGCUUACUUCUUUCACUUUCCCAUGUUUCAGAGUACUUAAAAGCAAACUCAGGUUGGAGGUCAUCGGAGAUCACUUCACACUAUCGACUUUCAAGUUACCAAAUGGGUAUCUUCGUUUACAAGCGUUCUAGUUUAUGGCAUGUAUAGGGACUUAGCCAUUUUGUGUGUAUGUCCUUAUGAUAUGGAUAAAGAAUGGUAUGUAAAUAUUUGAUAAUGAUUAGCUAUUGAAAUGGCUAAUGAAGAACAUGUUUCGGUGUUAUGUAUGCCUAAAUGUUUGUUAAUAUAAAGAAAUCAUGAAAAAGUGAAAUUAGCAUUAAAACAAUACUGAACAGCAGCAGUGACGUGAUCUUGAAAAAUCACCAAGAAUAGUAGAAAUGAAAUUAGGUGAUGAAUGAGAUAUAGAAUUAAAUAUUAUUGAGUCUAUUUUCAUAUUUUCAUAUGAAAGAAACAGAGUAAGCAAAAAGUAGUGUAUAUUAAGAGAUGUUUGAAUUUUAGUGAGACUGGGUCAGAGCGAUUUCUAAAUCCCCUAUUCUAAUUUUAUAAAUUCACUAAAAAUUGUACAAAAAUAAUUAGGAGUUAUAGUUUAUAUUUCUAGAUUCCUUAGUGAAUCUACUUUUAGGAGAAAGAAACGACAUGGUUAUUUGAAUUCUUUACAGGGAGAAAAUUGAUUCAUAGUGAGGAGAGGUCAGAGUAGUCAAAUAGUGCAACAAGGGAAACUUUAACUAAGAAACUGUACUAAUUGGCUAGACCAAAAAUUCUAGAAAACAAUUAGUUAGAAGAUAUAUGAGUCUAGUUUUAUGGAAAAUUCACAAAUUUAAAUUUUGAGUCUUGUGCCUCGAUUUAUGAUUUAUUUAGUAACUAUGACGCAGGUGGGCAGUUUUAUAAGGAAUAAUGAAAUAAAUUGUUUUGAUUUAUCUAAGUAUUCGGAAAACUUUUAAUGUUACUAGUUUGGCCCCAAAUCAUUUCAAUUGCAUGUUUUAGGGUCUCGAGGGCCCUUUUUAGGGUCAUAUUGAAUGAAUAUAAUUAAAUUAAUUUCAAAAGAAAAUUUUAUGCCCCGAAUUAGUAAGGUAAGUCAGGUAACGCCUCGUGCUCAACUCUGGCGACGGUCUCGGGUAAGGGGUGUUACAUGUUUCUUAAAAAUGAUUUAACAGGAGAUGUUUAUAUGCAACAACCUCCUGGGUAUGUUCAGAUAGAUAACAAUAGACAACAACCUAUUUUGAUUACAUAAAGCUUUGUAUGGGUUACGACAAGCAUGAUUUGACAAGUUGAAGGAGUUUCCUGUUUCCAUUGGGUUUGAGCUUUCUAAAUCCAAUGCAUCUUUGUUUGUUUGGGUUACUAAUACUUGUCAUAUAUAUGUUGGUCUAAAUCGAUGGUAUAAUUAUUACCAAUUACUCAAUUACAGAAAUUGGUAUGUUUGUAAGACUAUUAGAUACUGAGUUUUCACUUAAAGAUAUGAGGCUACUUCAUUAUUUCUUAGGUAUUAAGGUUGCUCAUCUUGACGGUGAUGGGUUACAUCUGAGUCAGUGGAAAUAUGUGCUUCAUUUGUUGGAAUGAUGUCUUAUGGAAAAUGCAAAAGGAGUUACCACACCUAUGAUCAGCUCUUGUUAGUUAUCUAAAUAUAUGGGAGGUUCACUUACAAACUCACAUGAGUAUCGUAGCAUUGUUGGGGCGCUACAAUGUGUAGUGCUCACUCGACCUAAUAUUGCUUACGCUGUCAAUCGCAUUUGUCAGUUCAUGUAUGCCCCAACUAAUGUUCAUUAUGUUGCAAUCAAAUUGGUUUUGAUUUAUCUUUGUGAUACUAUCGAUUAUGGUUUAUAGAUUCAGCCUACUAAUUGUUUAUCUUUGUUGGAUAUGUUAAUGCAAAUUGGGAUCUCAAUUUUGAUGAUCAUCAAUCCACCACUUGGUAUUGUAUAUUCUUUGGUGGUAAUCUUGUGUCUUAGUGUUCUAAAAACCAACAGGUCAUAUCUCGAUCAAUAGCAGAAAUAGGAUAUUGAAGUGUUGCUACUACUGUUGCAAACAUUACGUGGCUUGAGUUGUUAUUGAGUGAGCUUUGUUUGGAUCCAAAGAAAAGUCUGUUAUUUGGUGUGAUAAUUCAAGUGUUGUGGUUGUUUUUGCUAAUCUUAUUCUUCAUUCAAAAUUCAAACAUGUUGAGCUUGAUUUGUUUUUUGUUUGUGAAAAAGUUGCUGAUGAGAAAUUAGUCGUGGGUGAAGUUCCAGCACAUGAUUAGGCUAUUCAUAUACUUACCAAGCCAUUGUCAUUGAUAGUUUUUUUCUCGAUUUCGGAAUAAACUAAGAGUCAUAAAACAUGGAUGAUGGUGAAUAUUAGAGUAAAUGAAGUAGUUCAUUAGUUAACAGCGGUUAUGCAAAAUAAAUCUUCGUAUAAAUUCACAUCAGUGUAAGACUUAAAAGAUGGAAAAUGGAGAGAAUUCAAGUGUCAGAAAAGCCAUCGUAGAGAAGUUGAUCCCGAAGAAAGUUCGCUUUAGAAAGGAAGACGGAGAUUCUAAUAACGACAUGAUGAUCGAUCUGACCUCGGAGCAACCCGUUUCAUGGAAAGAUAAACUUGUCGGUCAAUCAUCAAAGAAUGACAUUACUGGUUCUGAGAGAAGAGAAGAUUUUGUUAUUAUGGAUGGCGACAUUCAAAAAUCUUUUGUGAAUGGAGUGCCUUCUAUAACUUUCUCGGAAAGGGUUUAUAAAUUUUUAAUACAAGGUAUGGAGAAUACCGUGAUUUUAAAAUUACUUGGUCGUAACGUCGGUUUUUCAGUUUUGCAGAGUAAAUUAUACAAUCUGUGGAUACUUUCAGCAACCUUACAUAUGAUGGAUACUGAGAAUGGAUAUUUUCUGGUUAAAUUCCAAAAUAAGUUGGACUGUGAAAAGGCUCUUUCUGAAGGCCCUUGGAUUAUCUUUGGACAGUACUUGACGGUUCAGCCUUGGACGGUAUCUUUUGAUCCCUCUCAGGCAUAACCCAGAAUUGUGAAGGCGUGGAUCAGAUUUCCUGGUUUACCGGGGUACUUAUACAAACAUAAAAUUAUUAUUGAGAUAGAAGGGAUGGUUGGAAAAAUGGUUAAGCUCGACAUGAACACUGAUAGUAGAGCUAGAGGGCGUUUUGCUAGAAUGGCGGUUUAUGUUGAAUUGGAUAAGCCUUUGGUUUCCCAAAUCUUGAUUAAUGGACUAAAACAGAAUAUGGAAUAUGAGUCUCUAUCCACAAUCUGUUUUAGUUGUGGAAGAUAUAGUCACAUGGAAAAAUCUUGUAUGUUCAGGAAUUCAGGUGUCACCGGAGAAAAGAGUUUUACUUCACAUGAAGAAUUGUCAGAGAUUCGGGAAACGAUCAGAGAUAGCUCGGGGAAGAAGGACAAAAAUUACGGACCAUGGAUGAUCGUUGAAAGGAAAUCAAGGCGAAAAUUUAGAGAGAAUGUGCAGGCUCCUGUAGCAAGUUAAGGGACUGAACAAGAAGGCUCACGAUUUAGACUCCUUAAUAAUCGGGAUUCCUAUAAAAAUAUUGAUGAGGGUGUUCUGUCACGUAAUAAAGGGAAAGAAAUAUUCAAUGGAAAAUAUACCAAGAAAGAGGUUGGCUCUUUUCAAAAAGAUAGUCUUGAUUUAGGCAAGAAUAAUAAUAAUAAUAACUGUCAGGAUAAAGAGGUAGGUCAUUCUAAUAAUAAAGGGUCGAAUACUAAUGGGGAAAAUGGGCCAAUAUCUAGGUCCAGCUUGAAUCAAAAAAGGACUAAAGAAAACUUACCAGAUUCUAAGAAGCAGACCAGCUACUUAGGCCUUGGAGACAGUUCAAAUGCUCAAGCCCGGGUUAUCUUGGACCUGCCUGGAUCGGUCACUAUGGCCCAACAGAAAGCUGUGGUUGCUGGCUGCAGUAGCAGUUCCAUGGUGGUGGUAGACGAGCAAUCGCCUUCUACCGGUGAGAUGGAUCUUCUCCUUGAAGUCAAUUCUGGUUUGGCUCAAGGGUCUCCGGUACUGGAAGGGGAUAUAAGAAAGGAAGAGAGACUGGCAGUGGGAAACCUUAAUCCUAGAAGACAUACGGCUGUGGUAUUCUACGAAAACUCGAACUCGAACAAAACUAACCCUCUUCCAAACAGCAAUAAAGGGUUAAUCCCGGUGAGUAACUCUGGCCUAGGGAAGGGAUUUGGUACUAGAGGAAAAGGAAUUUCUAAGAAAUGGAACAAAGUUGUCCAUGCUAGCAACUCCCAUUUCAAAUUCGCUGGCUCACAACGGGUGCCUUUGAAGGAAUCGAUAGAACAGAUUGCUGAAAGCCUUUUGGCCUUAUCCAAAUCCAAUCUUGAAUCGGUGGAAGCCAAUGUGCUGGACGGACAAAUUGAAGGGAGUUUUGCCCCUGGACAGUAA